CUGGGGCCAGCCCCUACACCUCAGAGCCCACCAAAAUUAUUUAAACUAGCUAAUCCUGAACCUGCUUACCCUGUUCCUUUUUGUAGAAACCACACUAAAUGCCUUUGCCAUAGUUUUCCUUUCUCCCUCAGGUUCCUGACCAAGCUGGUGCUUCUGCGUGUGUUCCUGCAUGACUUGGUGUGUCCCCUUCUCUUGGAUCUACUGCAGUUGACAGCAGAUAACUGAAAGCUCGGAAAGCGAAACCGUGGAUAAGCAGGGGAACUGUGGCAUCCCAUUUAAAAUUGCUUCUGAAGAGAAGCAUGAGGUUACAUCUGUAAUCUCCCUGCAGCAGAGUCAACUGCAUAAGAAACCAAAAGACACACCUGCUCCAUGCCAGCUUCGAUAAUUUCUUUGUACCUUCGGCGAAAGAAGCCCAUCUGAAAGGCAGAAAGAAAGAGGAGAAGCUGAGUUAGAAGUGCUGAAGAAUCAGCCAUUGUGACCCCAAGGCAGUCUGUCCCUGGGUAGGUGUGACCUGCACUCACAGGGCUGGGGAGGCUUGGAGGACCCCUCGGAUUAGAGAAAACACUGGCAAGAAAAACAUCCGGUGGAGACAUUUUUCAAAAUGCAUGGACUUCCUGCGGGUGAUAUUAGGCUUCUUCACUGUGAGCCAAACAUCCAGGGAAGCAUCACAGCCACCCUGAUGGUCAUAAGCUCCCCUGAAGAAGGGAAGGCAGGUGGACCUGAGGAGCUGUCUGUUGCCACCAUCUUUCUACUUCCCUAAAGGGGGCUUAUUGGCCAAGCCAAAGACGAGAACUGUCAAGAGAGCCAGCAGGUAUCUUCACCCACGUUGCCAAGGAGAUCCUGAGCAUUCACUGUGAGGGGAAGUCGAUAAGGUGGUGCAGUUUGAAUGACUGGGAAAGAGCAGAAGCUUUCUUAGAACAACUGGCAAGAGUCUUGUGUUCUGAGCUUCAAUCCUCAAGGCCAGUUUUGUAAACAGAUAUUGAGUUCCUGGUGAUUUCAGCCCUGGAGGUUUCUUCCCAGCAUAAGACCACAUUCAUCAGAAUGCCACGUUCUGACGCCCCCACACAUAUACUUUUCUCUCCUGAAACCUCUUCACCUUCUCCCCUCUGCAAGAGAUGUGGAAAAGGUGCUUGGCCAGAAUUUUCUGGAUAAUUAAGAAAAAGUCAUAGACAUCAUCCCCACAGCACACCCACAGAAGGCCAGAAAAACGGACCAAGACUGAAUGGAAAUCUAAGAAGCUACUGCUUGAAAUGUCAUUCUUUUGCGAUAAAGGUGUGGUUGGCCAAGAAAACAUGACCAGAUGUGGCUGGUCACAUGCCAUGAAGGAGAAUGUAAUCAUGAAACUGUGGAAGGAUGUAACAGGGAAAUAAGAUUCUCUAGCACAUACCUUUGGCUGCUGAUGUUGUAAUGUGUCAAUAAUCCCAGGUCACUCAGUUGUAAUUCCAGAGAAGUCACAUUUCCCUACCAUGGCACUAUCAAGCAGAAACUUAACAGUCUGCCCUCUUAUUAUCUCCUGCAUUUGUCUUAGGACUCCUUGAAGGCAGGCUUUGUGCUUUCAAUCCCCAGUACUCAGCAUCUCACCUGUCCUUGGUACCAGCGAUAAAUUGCAAAGAUGCCCACAUACCCUCCACACCCUUUACCAUGUGACUCUCCAGCUCUUCCCAUCAUGAGGUGGAGUC
RNAcentral lists this long non-coding RNA (1679 nucleotides) under Pan troglodytes (chimpanzee). RNAcentral's name for it is "long non-coding RNA NONPTRT011877". The record is from RNAcentral. Lineage: Eukaryota; Metazoa; Chordata; Mammalia; Primates; Hominidae.